RNAcentral lists this ribosomal RNA (314 nucleotides) under Salmonella enterica subsp. enterica serovar Agona. RNAcentral's name for it is "partial 23S ribosomal RNA". It matches the Rfam family "Bacterial large subunit ribosomal RNA", at positions 478 to 792 of the family's 2925-position model. The record is from RNAcentral. Lineage: Bacteria; Pseudomonadati; Pseudomonadota; Gammaproteobacteria; Enterobacterales; Enterobacteriaceae.
GACUGACCGAUAGUGAACCAGUACCGUGAGGGAAAGGCGAAAAGAACCCCGGCGAGGGGAGUGAAAAAGAACCUGAAACCGUGUACGUACAAGCAGUGGGAGCACAGGUUUACCUGUGUGACUGCGUACCUUUUGUAUAAUGGGUCAGCGACUUAUAUUCUGUAGCAAGGUUAACCGUAUAGGGGAGCCGCAGGGAAACCGAGUCUUAACCGGGCGUUAAGUUGCAGGGUAUAGACCCGAAACCCGGUGAUCUAGCCAUGGGCAGGUUGAAGGUUGGGUAACACUAACUGGAGGACCGAACCGACUAAUGUUGA